ACGGAGGGGGCUAGCGUUGUUCGGAAUUACUGGGCGUAAAGCGCACGUAGGCGGAUUGUUAAGUUAGAGGUGAAAGCCCAGAGCUCAACUCUGGAAUAGCCUUUGAUACUGGCAGUCUAGAGUUCAGGAGAGGUGAGCGGAAUUCCGAGUGUAGAGGUGAAAUUCGUAGAUAUUCGGAGGAACACCAGAGGCGAAGGCGGCUCACUGGACUGAUACUGACGCUGAGGUGCGAAAGCGUGGGGAGCAAACAGG
Molecule: ribosomal RNA, 252 nt
Filed under: uncultured bacterium
Lineage: Bacteria
Description: partial 16S ribosomal RNA
Rfam family: Bacterial small subunit ribosomal RNA
Source: RNAcentral